This 454-nucleotide ribosomal RNA is filed under the name uncultured bacterium. Its description in RNAcentral is "bacterial SSU rRNA". It matches the Rfam family "Bacterial small subunit ribosomal RNA", at positions 43 to 524 of the family's 1533-position model. The record is from RNAcentral.
CAGGCCUAACACAUGCAAGUCGAACGGAUGUAGCAAUACAUUAGUGGCGCACGGGUGCGUAACACGUAACUAAUCUACCUACAACUGGGGGAUAGCCCGCCGAAAGGCGGAUUAAUACCGCAUAACACUUGAUUUCGGCAUCGAGAUUUAGUUAAAGAUUUAUUGGUUGUAGAUGAGGUUGCGGGUCAUUAGCUAGUUGGUAAGGUAACGGCUUACCAAGGCGACGAUGACUAGGGGAGCUGAGAGGCUGGUCCCCCACACGGGCACUGAGAUACGGGCCCGACUCCUACGGGAGGCAGCAGUAGGGAAUAUUGGGCAAUGGCCGAGAGGCUGACCCAGCCAUGCCGCGUGAGUGAUGAAGGCCUUAGGGUUGUAAAGCUCUUUUACCCGGGAUGAUAAUGACAGUACCGGGAGAAUAAGCUCCGGCUAACUCCGUGCCAGCAGCCGCGGUAAU